Molecule: long non-coding RNA, 4930 nt
Filed under: Brassica rapa (field mustard)
Lineage: Eukaryota; Viridiplantae; Streptophyta; Magnoliopsida; Brassicales; Brassicaceae
Description: long non-coding RNA (BRAP_LNC000809)
Source: RNAcentral
GCCAGAAGGCAGAGAGUAAAGUUUGGAGAUGAUAGAGGCCAGGUAGAAGAGACCACAGCUGCACUGCUAAAAGCCCAAGGCCGCCGAGAGAACUACCUAGCGCCUGAAGAAACAAGACAUAACCAUGUCACUAUUAGAUCAAAAGAGCAAGUCUUGGAGGAUCUUAAUGCAGUUACACUCCAAUACCUUAGCUGUUCAGAUCCUACUGAAGCUGCAGCUAGGAGACAACGGGUCCUUAACAGUGAGGCGUCAGGCUUAGUGGAAAAGACAGCAGCUUCAAUCCUAGCUUCGGAAACAACCCCGAGACGCCCGCUUUCACCUUGGGAGCAAGGCAUCAAGUCAAUAAGCCCACCGGGAGAGGGGUCUCUUAUGGGACUACGUCAAGACCAAAUCUUCACCCCCAUCCCAAGAGAAGAAGAAGAUCUAGGCUUUGACCCACCUUAUAGUGUUGAACCUGCCCAAAUUAACACUCUCCGGGUGCAAGAAGUCAGAGAACACCCUGCACGCAUUAGAUCAAUUAUUGUUAGCCCCCCUGAGACGACGGAAACAUCUCCUCUGCAACAACAGUUAAUCCCUGAGCUGCAGGAGGAAGAAACUCUUAAUGACUUCCAAAACAAAGUAAGGGAAAGAACGGUGCGACAUCAUAAAGCAAGAUCACCACGAAGCGGAACUAAUGUCCUGCGAGGAGCCAGCACAAAGAAAAGAAGAUUAUCACAAAUUCUUCACUCACCAGGAGCUAACAAAAAACAAAAGAAUGAUGUACCAAACAAAGGACGUACUCGCGGGGAAGCUUCAAAGUCGGGUAACAAGGCAUCAGAGAACCCAAAGAACCCACCUAUCCAACUAAUUCCAGCUAUGUCGAAGAAGAAAAUGGAUUUUCGGGUUCCCCCUCCCCAGGCUCCUUAGUCGUUCUGAGCUGGAACUGUUGUGGGUUGGGGAACCCCAUAACAGUCCAGCGUCUGAAGGAGCUUCGGAAAAGGAAGUCUCCUGACAUAGUGUUCCUAAUGGAAACAAAGAACUCAGAAGAGAUGAUUAGGAAGGAACUCCCCUGGCUGAAAGAGGAAAAUAACUGCAUAGUUCCCCCCCAUAGCCCCGGCGGUGGUGGUCUGAUUCUCAGUUGGAAAAAAGACAUUGAUCUUACUGUCCUUUCUACGACAGACAACUUCAUUGAAACGAGAAUCAGUUCCAAAGGAAAGAGCUUCCUGACUACCUUUCUUUACGGAGAACCUGAUCACACAAAACGUAAUGCAGUCUGGAACGAGCUAACUACUCUACAUGCUAACCUAAAGGAACCUUGGUUCUUAACAGGGGAUUUCAAUGAACUGCAAGAUAAUAGUGAGAAAAAAGGAGGACCAGAGAGAGCAGAAGGCACCUUUGGAGCCUUCAGAACAUUCCUAUCUGAAAAUGACCUGUUUGAUCUCAAACAUUCUGGUAACCCUUUCUCUUGGAGGGGUAAAAGAGGUGCACACCUUGUUAGAUGUCGCCUCGACAGAGCUAUGAGCAACCCAGAAUGGAUGGAGCUCUUCCCCUCCUGCCGCUGUCAAUAUCUUAAAUUCGAGGGAUCUGAUCACCGCCCUAUCCUCUCCUACCUGGAUACAACAAGAAAGAAAGGCCAUAACUUAUUCCGCUAUGACAGACGCCUAAAAGAUCAAAAAGAGAUUAAAGAAUUGGUAGCGGAGAUCUGGCAAAACUGUACUUACCUUGGAGUAGAGGCUAGACUCGUCUUAGUCCGCAGAGCAAUUUGUAAAUGGUGCAAGCUGUUCCAGGAAAAUAGCAAACAAACCAUUGAGAAUCUACGAGUAGAGCUUGAUGAUCAGAUGACUAAGGACGACCCAGAUGAGGACAGGAUCCAAGAUAUCAAUAAACUCAUCCUAAAAGCUUAUAAUUCAGAAGAAGCAUACUGGAAACAGAGAAGUCGACUUCUUUGGCUAACUCUAGGAGACUCAAACUCUGGCUAUUUCCAUGCAGUGACAAAGACGCGAAAGGCAAGAAACAGGCUAACGGUUAUGGAGAAUAAGGAUGGCAUACCUGUCUAUGAAGAAGACCAAAUCUCAGCGUUAGUCUGUUCCUACUAUGACAACCUCUUCACUGCAAAUCAAAGAGGAGAAAUUUCUUCAACGAUCUCCCAAGCGCUCAAGCCCUGUGUAACUCAGGAAUGGAACGAGCUGCUUACCAGAGACCCAUCACCGGCUGAAAUAAAAGAAGCACUCUUUGCAAUCCACGCAGAUAAGGCUCCCGGGCCUGACGGGUUCUCAGCAAGUUUCUUCCACUCAAAUUGGGAGACCAUCGGCCAAUCGAUCAUCACUGAGAUCCAAGAGUUCUUCUCCACGGGCGUAUUGUCACCAACAUUGAAUGUGACUCAUGUUAGGCUGAUCCCUAAGACAUUAGGAGCGAAAAGAGUGGAUGAAUACCGACCUAUAGCUUUGUGCAAUGUGUACUAUAAAGUCAUCUCUAAGCUCCUAUCCUUGCGCCUGAAACCCAUACUUUGCUCCAUAAUCUCAGAGAACCAAUCCGCUUUUAUUCCUGGAAGGGCAAUAACAGAUAAUGUUCUAAUUACGCAUGAGGUACUGCAAUUUCUCAAGACUUCACAAGCUAAAAAACAGUGUGCAAUGGCAGUCAAGAUGGAUAUGUCAAAGGCCUACGACAGAGUGGAAUGGGAGUUCAUAGCUCAAGUAAUGAAACGCCUAGGUUUUCAUGAAAAAUGGAUCAAUUGGAUCAUGCAGUGUAUCACAUCGGUUUCCUACUCCUAUCUGAUAAAUGAUUCAGUCUAUGGUCUGGUCAAACCUCACCGUGGAAUCAGGCAAGGAGAUCCGAUCUCGCCGUACUUGUUCAUCCUAUGCGGAGAGGUCCUCUCAGGCCUUUGCAGAAAAGCGGAGUUAGAAGGAUCAAUGCGGGGAGUUCGAGUUGCUAGAGGCUGCCCCCGAGUCAAUCAUCUACUUUUUGCUGACGAUACAAUGAUUUUCUGCAACUCAACUUCAGAAAGCUGCCUAGCCUUACUACGGAUACUGCGAGAUUAUGAAAGUGUAUCAGGUCAAAAGGUUAAUAUUGCCAAAUCUGCAAUCAACUUCUCAUCAAAAACACCCCCUGAGGUAAAACAAGCAGCAAAAGACUUAUUGGGGAUCCAAAAGGAGGGUGGGAUGGGUAAAUAUCUAGGCCUACCAGAGCAUUUCGGAAGAAAAAAGAAGGAUUUAUUUACCUCGAUAGUUGAUAGAAUCCGACAGAGAGCUGCGAACUGGUCAACACGCUUCCUCUCGAGAGCAGGCAAGCUCACCAUGCUCAAAGCGGUCCUUACAGCUAUCCCAACCUAUGCAAUGUCUUGCUUCAUACUACCCCAGAGCCUCUGCAACAGAAUCCAAUCAUCAUUAACGCGUUUCUGGUGGGACAAAUCUCCUGACAAGAAGAACAUGUGCUGGGUAGCAUGGGGAAAACUUACACGACCAAAAAAGGCAGGAGGUCUUGGGUUGCGAGAUAUCCAACGGUUUAAUCAAGCGUUACUUGCAAAAGUAGCUUGGAGAAUAUUAACAUCACCACACUGCCUUCUAGCUAGAGUACUCACCGGGAAGUAUUGCCAUAAGAAAAGCUUCCUGGAUGUACAGACCCCAGCAGUUUGCUCGCAUGGAUGGAGGAGCAUUUUGCACGGUAGAGACCUACUCCAAGAACACCUAGGAAGAGCAAUUGGCAAUGGUCAGAACACUAGACUCUGGAAGGAUCCGUGGAUCUCACUCCAAGCCCCAUUAAAGCCCUAUGGACCAGUACAAGAGGCGGGACUGGACCUCAGAGUUUCUGAUCUACUAACGGAUGACCUUCAGUGGAACAAGGAUAAGAUCGAUAAGUUCUUACCAGACUUUACAAAGCAGAUCCAGUGUCUUAAGCCAAGCAAGGAAGGUGCAGAGGAUAUUUACGUGUGGCUCCCCCUUGAGUCUGGUGUCUACUCCACUAAGUCGGGUUACAACUCUAAAACCCAGCUCAAUGCACACACACACCUGCAACAGAGAACCUCAAAUCCUCCUCCUAACCUGGAAUUCGACUGGCUGAAAGAUGUGUGGUCAAUCAAAACAGCGCCAAAACUUAAGCUUUUCUUAUGGUCGAUUAUACAGGGAGCUUUACCUCUAGGAUCAGAACUCCAACGUCGAGGUAUGAUCAAUGCUGCUGCUUGCCCCCGCUGUAAGAAAGAGGAAUCAGCUACCCAUAUAUUCUUCCAGUGCCCCUUUGCCAAAGAAGUAUGGCGCCACAUUCCUCUCAACUCAUCAGUUCACCUAGCUGAUGCAGAGACUUUUGAAUCCUAUAUGGGGCAAUUCCGAAGCGCCCUCUGUCUCCCUCCUACAGGCAUCAGAUCACCAGUGCUCCCGUGGAUCUGCUGGUCACUAUGGACGGCAAGAAACAAGCUGAUUUUCGAUGAUAAAACGGCUCAACCACUCGAAAUAGCGACAAAAGGGCUUGCAGCUGCACUUGAAUGGGACCUAGCUCAGAGCACCGAUCAAUUGAAGAGAAACCAAGUAUUCCCCCAAGCUCCAAGCCGACGACAAAUACCAGGAAUCCAAUCAUACCCCUCUUGCUUCGUAGACGCAGCGUGGGAUGCCUCCUCCAACCGAGCAGGUAUCGCUUGGCAUUUCACCAACGAUCUAGGGACCAACUCUCCUCCAGGAUCCCAGAUCAUAGACAAUGUGGCUUCCCCCCUCAUGGCGGAAUCGCUGGCGCUCAGACAAGGAAUCAAAGAAGCCCUAAGUCUAGGGAAGAAGUCAGUUUCGUUUCACUCCGAUUGCGCAACGCUCAUCAGAGCAAUCUCAACCCAAAGUCAGAUCAAGGAGAUCUAUGGUGUUCUUCAGGAUAUCAAGCAUCUCUCAGCAAACUUUGAUCGCAUCCAAUUUCUGCAUAUCUCCCGUUCCCAGAACAGAGAGGCAGACUAUCUAGCUAAAGUGGCCCUUAAGGC